RNAcentral lists this long non-coding RNA (846 nucleotides) under Monodelphis domestica (gray short-tailed opossum). Its description in RNAcentral is "lncRNA (ENSMODG00000040228.1)". Lineage: Eukaryota; Metazoa; Chordata; Mammalia; Didelphimorphia; Didelphidae. The record is from RNAcentral.
UGGCAAGCCUUCUACCUUCAGAGGGCAGUGGUAUCUUCAGAGGCAUUGAAAAGGGGCUGAGUACCUUCCUUGAAAUCCUUUUUCUUAUCUUCUUUCAAAAUUAUAUGUUUCUCUCUAUAUAUUCUCUUGAUCAAGGCCUAGACCAUAGCCACUGAUAAUAGUAUCCAAUUAUUCCUGCAAGAGAUGAAAACAAGGAGCUUGCUCUCUUAUCAAGCAAAAAAAAAGAAACAAAGUCUAUGUUUCCAUCUUUAGCCAAAUAAUUGGAUAUGGUGUCUACUGUCUACUGCCUUGUCCUAGGCCAAGAAGAAAGACUGUUUAUUCAAAACUUAGAGGAGUAAAUAUUGCCUGAAUGAGGAUAAUUGUUUUACUGCUUUUACAGAGAUUUGGGGAGGAAGAUAGUUAUUACUAUCUUCUCUCCUUGUGAAUGAAGCGAUGAUAGAGGAAUGAAUAGGAAUGAAGAAACAAAAAGGGGACCCCACUUCGAUGACAAGGACACCAGUGGAGUUGCAAGGAGCCUUGACUGUUGCUUAUAGACAUCACACUUACCACAUAAGUACUUUGGGUAUCAACAUGCCCAGUGGCAUUUACUUGAUCUCUUUUACCAAGGCAAAAGCAAAAUCAUGAUUAUGUUUCUAGUUGGCUGGAUGAUUUGUUGGAAAUAACUGUUAAUUGAUUCCAAAGGAAAUUUUUUUUAAAAGGCUUAAUUGAAAGAUUCUAAAUUUAGGUCAUUAUUUCUAAAGCUAUGAGACAUCUACUAGUACUGGACAGUUGUUUAUUGUGGUGGGGUAAUUUUUUCUUCCUGCUUAGCUCUUUUUUUACAGGUCUACUUUAUUUUAAAAUUUUAAA